UGGGGAAUAUUGGACAAUGGGCGCAAGCCUGAUCCAGCCAUGCCGCGUGGGUGAAGAAGGCCUUCGGGUUGUAAAGCCCUUUUGUUCGGGACGAAAUCGUACGGGUGAAUAUCCCGUGCGGAUGACGGUACCGGAAGAAUAAGCACCGGCUAACUUCGUGCCAGCAGCCGCGGUAAUACGAAGGGUGCAAGCGUUACUCGGAAUUACUGGGCGUAAAGCGUGCGUAGGCGGUUUGUUAAGUCCGCUGUGAAAGCCCUGGGCUCAACCUGGGAAUUGCAGUGGAUACUGGCAAGCUAGAGUGCGGUAGAGGAUGGUGGAAUUCCCGGUGUAGCGGUGAAAUGCGUAGAGAUCGGGAGGAACACCCGUGGCGAAGGCGGCCAUCUGGACCAGCACUGACGCUGAGGCACGAAAGCGUGGGGAGCAAACA
This 427-nucleotide ribosomal RNA is filed under the name uncultured Dokdonella sp. RNAcentral describes it as "bacterial SSU rRNA". It matches the Rfam family "Bacterial small subunit ribosomal RNA", at positions 355 to 774 of the family's 1533-position model. The record is from RNAcentral. Lineage: Bacteria; Pseudomonadati; Pseudomonadota; Gammaproteobacteria; Lysobacterales; Rhodanobacteraceae.